UAGAACAUAUCUGACUCACAGGCCAAGGACACAUAUGGUUGAAAAUAGCUGACCACUUGUGGAAGAUCAGGAUGCCUGUUUUGUGUUAUGAAAAACUUCCCAGGUAGGGAGGGAGGGCUACAUUAUUAGACAGAGGACUUGCCAUUCCAGGCUUGUCCUCCUGUGAGUGAGGCUGUGGCUAACACAGGCAGUUCCACAACUUGACAGCAUAGGUGUCUUCAGAAGCUGUGUGACAGUGGGUGGUGCCUUACUUUAUGCCAUCUCAUGUACAUGUCAUCCCAUUGACCACAUCCUGCCCCAUUUGCACUCUCUGCAGUGGAAGAGCCCUCCUGCAAAAAGGAGGAAGGGGACUCAGCAUCUGCAGAGCAGGCCGAGGCUAUACCCAGGGUGUGUGGAGAUCCACCCCCACUGGAAGGGCCAGAUGCCAUCGUGCCUAUCCUCAAGGAAGAUGGAUCCUACCUGCUCUGUGGAUAUUGGGCUGAUGAGCCUGAAGCACCAGUCCAGGCCUGGGCUGGGGCCUGGCACUUUACAACCCAGCAGCCCAUCUGCAGUGCUGAGGACACUUUGGUGGAAGAGCCCUCAUUUCAAGAGGAGGAAGGUGUGGUGGCACCUGCAGACCAGGCCGAGGCUAAUCAGAGCCUCUGCUCUGCAUCACACCUCGGGUGUGUGAAGAUCCACCCCCACUGGAAGGGCCAGAUGUCAUUGUGCCUAUUCUCAAGGAUGAUGGGUCCUACAUGCUCUGUGCAGUUUGGAUGGAUGAUC
Molecule: non-coding RNA, 762 nt
Organism: Oryctolagus cuniculus (rabbit)
Lineage: Eukaryota; Metazoa; Chordata; Mammalia; Lagomorpha; Leporidae
Source: RefSeq, a predicted model, not a curated record